This 468-nucleotide ribosomal RNA is filed under the name uncultured bacterium. RNAcentral describes it as "partial 16S ribosomal RNA". It matches the Rfam family "Bacterial small subunit ribosomal RNA", at positions 28 to 507 of the family's 1533-position model. The record is from RNAcentral.
GACGAACGCUGGCGGCGUGCUUAACACAUGCAGGUCGAACGGAAAGGCCCUGCUUUUGUGGGGUGCUCGAGUGGCGAACGGGUGAGUAACACGUGAGUAACCUGCCCUUGACUUUGGGAUAACUUCAGGAAACUGGGGCUAAUACCGGAUCGGAGCUCCUGCUGCAUGGUGGGGGUUGGAAAGUUUCGGCGGUUGGGGAUGGACUCGCGGCUUAUCAGCUUGUUGGUGGGGUAGUGGCUUACCAAGGCUUUGACGGGUAGCCGGCCUGAGAGGGUGACCGGCCACAUUGGGACUGAGAUACGGCCCAGACUCCUACGGGAGGCAGCAGUGGGGAAUAUUGCACAAUGGGCGGAAGCCUGAUGCAGCAACGCCGCGUGCGGGAUGACGGCCUUCGGGUUGUAAACCGCUUUCGCCUGUGACGAAGCGUGAGUGACGGUAAUGGGUAAAGAAGCACCGGCUAACUACGUG